GCACGAAGCUGGAAUCGCCAGUAAUCGCGGAUCAGAAUGCCGCGGUGAAUACGUUCCCGGGUCUUGUACACACCGCCCGUCACACCAUGGGAGUCGGAAAUGCCCGAAGCCGGUGACCCAACCAAAAGGAGGGAGCCGUCGAAGGCAGGUCCGGUAACUGGGGUGAAGUCGUAACAAGGUAAC
Molecule: ribosomal RNA, 183 nt
Filed under: uncultured bacterium
Lineage: Bacteria
Description: partial 16S ribosomal RNA
Rfam family: Bacterial small subunit ribosomal RNA
Source: RNAcentral